AUGACUGGUGGUGGCCAACGCGACCAACGUUUUCAUGACGCUGCUCAAGCACGGAUCCCCCACCAUGCAAAUCAGGCCGACACGCUUAAGCUGGUGGUGGCGGAUGCGAGGCUCCAGCGCGACGUUCCAGUGCGACGGCCGCAGAGGAAGGACCUCUACGAGGUGCUUGAGGUCGGCCGCUCCGCCACCGACGAGGAGAUCAAGAAGGCCUUCCAUCGCAUGGCGCUCAAGUACCAUCCGGACAAGAAUGGCGAUGACCCAGUGGCCUUUGACAUCUUCCUGGAAAUCCAAUUCGCCCACAGCAUUCUGUCAGAUCCCAGUAAAAGGCGGCAGUAUGACAAAUCAGGAUUCGAGGCUAUUGAAUCUGAUAGACCGAAAUCCGACCUGGACCUAUCGAAUCUUAGUCCAGCCAGCACCAUGUUUGUGGCCCUGUUGAGUAAAUUUGGUGUGCCGAUUAAGACAACUGUUCCAGUAGCCGUUUUGAAGGAGGCUUUGGAUAGGUCCGUUAAGGUUUUUCAGCUCCAGCUAGGACAAUCUGAACGCAGGAAGGUGGAAAAGCUAUCAGCCAAUUAUUAUGCCGUGGACAUAACAGAACGGGAUGCUAAGGCGGGGUUAGUUUGCCGCGUGCACUCACCCGAUGGAAGCAAAUUUAAGUUGCUUUAUUUCACGUGCGAAGAAAAUGGAGGUCUCGACCUUGCACUGAAGGAGGACAGUGUGGACACCGGAAACGGUACUUCAGCCGGGAUGUACUUUCUUGGGUUUCCUGUGUAUCGAUUUCAGCAUAAUUACUCGCCAGCUGUUAUAAAGAAUUCACACACGGUAUUGCUUAAAAUGUUGGAUAGCUUCCAAUCAUGUGAUGUUAAUGAACUGACACCUGGAACCCACUACUUCGCUGUCUAUGGUGACAAUUUCUUCCGUCCUGCAAGCUAUAUCAUCGAGUUUAUGUGUGGUCAAUCUUUCUCUGCUGAAAAGGAGAAGCUGAAAAACGUCGAAGCAAUGAUACUCGCAAAACAAGCUGCAUAUAGGGAAGUUUCACCAAAUCUCACUGAGAUGAAAAGAGGAUACACCAAAGAUAUGCCAACGAUCGACGAGCUUCUCAAGGAAAGGAAUGAGAUCCAUGCAUCCUUUAGUACCAACAAUUCACCUCCGACAAUGCAAAAGAAAGCGAAGGAUCAUCCAACGGAGGGCGAGCAUGACAAUUCAGGUGAUAAGAAAACUAACGGGAAAAAAAGAUUGUUUCCAAGCUUCCUUUAA
RNAcentral lists this ribosomal RNA (1254 nucleotides) under Triticum aestivum (bread wheat). RNAcentral's name for it is "partial small subunit ribosomal RNA". Lineage: Eukaryota; Viridiplantae; Streptophyta; Magnoliopsida; Poales; Poaceae. The record is from RNAcentral.